GAAACGAUGAACAAGACGAUACUCAAGGAAAAUUGUUGUAUGCGAACAUGGAUCAAACCGAGUGCUCAUGAGGAAGAGGUCGAGGACGAGGUGGAGGAAGAAGCAAUCAAAUCAAUCAAAAACAGACCAAAGAAAAGGAAGACAAGUCGAACGUGGUAUGUUAUCGGUGUGAUAAACCGGGUCAUUACGCGUCAGUUUUCCGGGAUAGAAAACAACACGUCCAAGAGGUGAACAAGGUCGAGACAGAAGAGGC
This 253-nucleotide long non-coding RNA is filed under the name Capsella rubella. Its description in RNAcentral is "long non-coding RNA (CRUB_LNC003820)". Lineage: Eukaryota; Viridiplantae; Streptophyta; Magnoliopsida; Brassicales; Brassicaceae. The record is from RNAcentral.